Long non-coding RNA from Hypanus sabinus (Atlantic stingray), 2444 nucleotides. RefSeq lists it as uncharacterized. NCBI's taxonomy places the organism in Eukaryota, Metazoa, Chordata, Chondrichthyes, Myliobatiformes, Dasyatidae. The record is from RefSeq and is a predicted model, not a curated record. The transcript is spliced from 3 exons.
UUGCGAGGGAGGGGGGAUUUGGGGGUCGAUAUGCUCGUGGUGUUUUGCGAGGGAGGGGGGAUUUGGGGGUCGAUAUUGUGGUGUUUUGCAAGGGAGGGGGGAUUUGGGGGUUGAUAUUCUUGUAGCGUUUUGCGAGGGAGGAGUUGGUCUUGGGUCGAUGUCCUUGUUGCCUCUUUUUUUUUGUUAGUGUCUUUGUGAGGGGGGGUGGUAUUUGGAGGCCGAUGUUCUUUUUGCAUUUCAUACAGGGGAGGGGGUUUUGGAGAUGAGUUUUUUGUUGUACUUUUGUUCAUUUUUUUGUGUGGAAUGAAUGGUAUUUGGGGGCUAAUGUUCUUGUUGUAUUUCAUGUGGGGAGGGGUUUGGGAUUGAUGAUUGUGCUGCCAUUCUUGGUCUCAUGGCUAUCUGGAGAUGAAGAAUCUCAGAGUUUUGAGUUUUGAUAUCUAUUGCUUAUUUUCAUUAUUAUUAUUCUUUCUCUUUUUACUUUUUUGUAUUUGCACAGUUUGUUGUCUGUUGCUCAUUGGCUGAUUGUUUGUCCUGGUGGGUCUUUCAUUGAUUCGAUUGUGUCUCCUGUGCUUUCUGUGAAUGCUCACAUGAAAAUGAGUCUCAGAAUUGUUUCUGACCCAUUCCCACCUACAAACUCAGUGAUGGCUUUAUGCCCAGAAGAUCUUGUUGCUGCACAGAACCUCUCAACUGAAGAAUGAACUUGCUUUUUGUUGACCCGGGGAGAACUACAGAGCAAGUGCAGACAUUUCUCACAGGUAUGCCAAAACAAAGUUCAGCGGAGACACAGAGUCAGCAGAUGUUGGGAUCUGGAGUGAAGAGCAGCCCGCUGGAUGAAGUGGUACAGCAGCAUCAGUGAAGGGAAAGAGAUGGGUGACAUUUUGGGUUGAGACCCCAUACCAGUCAACACAAAAUGCUGUCACCACAGGUGCUCGACCCACUAAGCUCUUCCAGCAGUUUGCUUUUUGCUUCGGUAGUGCAGAAACUCCUUUCAGCAGUGGUUUUAAGAUCAGAAUCUUCAAAUAAAAUCCUUAUUCAGUGUCACUGUCACAUUCCCCAGCAUGCUGCUUCACCUUUGGUACACGCCAGACAACUGCUGUGCCUCACAUUGCAUAGUUGUCAGUACUUGCAGCUUCAGGGUCUGAUCUUUAAAAGAUCACAACACACCACAGGUGGCGCCGUUGCAACUUGGCGAGGGUGUUAUUUCCUGAAUGGCUCUGCAGUGAAUGGAGAUUCACCAGAGAGACUGACAGAUCUCUGGAGGGUCCCACAGUGACACUCUAAGCCUACAGUGCUGGACUCCUAGGAGCAGAUUGGCAGGAAGAUCUUAGUGACAACUAAUGCUCUUAGAGUUGCACAGCAGUACCAAAGCAAGUCCCCAAAAUGUACACUUCUUCCUAAACGCCACAUUCUGUUUACACCUUGACCUCCAAGGCACCGACUCUCACUCACAACAAUGACACUGAGUCCGUCAUUUCCAAAUCUCCCCCUGCCCACCCCUUCCAGGUUUCACCCAACCACAGACCUUAGGAAGAAAAUCAGACCAGCAGUAGUAAGGGCACAAAAGACACAUUAAUUGAUAAAAUUAGUUAUGCUAUCACAACCUCACCUGGUCCCUUCAUAUCACUUCCCUGAACAAGAAGGCACAGCAUGGCUCCACUUCCUAAGAAGUUCGAGAAUCUCACCCCCCCCCCCCCCCCAUCUUAACUGCGUUUUACAGGACACCAUUGAGACCAUCCUGACAAGUUGCAUCUCCAUCUGGUAUGGGAGUAGUCGAGCAUCGGACCAGAAGUCCCUACAAAGGACAGUGAGAACAGCUGAGAGGAUCACUGGGGUCUCACCACCAUCCAUUGGGGAACAUUUAUCAGAGCACUGCAUACGGAGGGGAUCCCACCCAUCCAUCCAGCAUCCUCUUUGACUCUCUACCAUUAGGCAGGAGACUCCGAUGCAUAAAAACAAGAACGGUCAGGAUGAGAAACAGUUUCUUCCCCAAGGCCAUUAGGCUGCCAAACUCCUGGCGGCAUUGCAGUUGAAGUGUCACUGGUUAAUCUAUUCUGUAUCUUACAAUAUUUAAUAUUAAUGCACCUUAAUUGGUUAUUUAUGUGUGAUUCACCUGUAGAUUUUAUCCUUACCAUAUGUUAUGUGUACUACUGUGUUUUACACCCUGCUUCAGAGAAAUGUCUCAUUUCUAUUUACCUUAUAUAAUUAUAUAACUUAUAUACAUGUAUGUAGUUAAAACAGAAGAAACUUGACUUGACAUGACUUGAAUACAAUCAUAUUUAAAAUCUUACUUCAUAUUAAAGCCUGGAUUUACAGUCAGCAUUCACUGGUGAAAUGUAAGUUAAGUUUGCGACGACCUUUUUCCCAUCUCACCCCUGACAAUUCUUAGAGAAAGCUGGCCGGGCCCUCAGCCCUGAGACCUAGUGCAGCAACAGGGCCUUCUGUGU